ACGUAGGGGGCGAGCGUUGUCCGGAAUGAUUGGGCGUAAAGGGCGCGUAGGCGGCCUGCUAAGUCUGGAGUGAAAGUCCUGCUUUCAAGGUGGGAAGUGCUUUGGAUACUGGUGGGCUGGAGUGCAGGAGAGGAAAGCGGAAUUAUCGGUGUAGCGGUGAAAUGCGUAGAGAUCGGUAGGAACACCAGUGGCGAAGGCGGCUUUCUGGACUGAAACUGACGCUGAGGCGCGAAAGCGUGGGGAGCAAACAG
RNAcentral lists this ribosomal RNA (251 nucleotides) under uncultured bacterium. RNAcentral describes it as "partial 16S ribosomal RNA". It matches the Rfam family "Bacterial small subunit ribosomal RNA", at positions 525 to 775 of the family's 1533-position model. The record is from RNAcentral.